Molecule: ribosomal RNA, 1407 nt
Filed under: uncultured bacterium
Lineage: Bacteria
Description: 16S ribosomal RNA
Rfam family: Bacterial small subunit ribosomal RNA
Source: RNAcentral
AGAGUUUGAUCCUGGCUCAGGACGAACGCUGGCGGCGUGCCUAAUACAUGCAAGUAGAACGCUGAAGAGAGGAGCUUGCUCUUCUUGGAUGAGUUGCGAACGGGUGAGUAACGCGUAGGUAACCUGCCUUGUAGCGGGGGAUAACUAUUGGAAACGAUAGCUAAUACCGCAUAACAAUGGAUGACACAUGUCAUUUAUUUGAAAGGGGCAAUUGCUCCACUACAAGAUGGACCUGCGUUGUAUUAGCUAGUAGGUGAGGUAACGGCUCACCUAGGCGACGAUACAUAGCCGACCUGAGAGGGUGAUCGGCCACACUGGGACUGAGACACGGCCCAGACUCCUACGGGAGGCAGCAGUAGGGAAUCUUCGGCAAUGGGGGCAACCCUGACCGAGCAACGCCGCGUGAGUGAAGAAGGUUUUCGGAUCGUAAAGCUCUGUUGUAAGUCAAGAACGAGUGUGAGAGUGGAAAAUUCACACUGUGACGGUAGCUUACCAGAAAGGGACGGCUAACUACGUGCCAGCAGCCGCGGUAAUACGUAGGUCCCGAGCGUUGUCCGGAUUUAUUGGGCGCAAAGCGAGCGCAGGCGGUUUGAUAAGUCUGAAGUUAAAGGCUGUGGCUCAACCAUAGUUCGCUUUGGAAACUGUCAAACUUGAGUGCAGAAGGGGAGAGUGGAAUUCCAUGUGUAGCGGUGAAAUGCGUAGAUAUAUGGAGGAACACCGGUGGCGAAAGCGGCUCUCUGGUCUGUAACUGACGCUGAGGCUCGAAAGCGUGGGGAGCGAACAGGAUUAGAUACCCUGGUAGUCCACGCCGUAAACGAUGAGUGCUAGGUGUUGGAUCCUUUCCGGGAUUCAGUGCCGCAGCUAACGCAUUAAGCACUCCGCCUGGGGAGUACGACCGCAAGGUUGAAACUCAAAGGAAUUGACGGGGGCCCGCACAAGCGGUGGAGCAUGUGGUUUAAUUCGAAGCAACGCGAAGAACCUUACCAGGUCUUGACAUCCCGAUGCUAUUUCUAGAGAUAGAAAGUUACUUCGGUACAUCGGUGACAGGUGGUGCAUGGUUGUCGUCAGCUCGUGUCGUGAGAUGUUGGGUUAAGUCCCGCAACGAGCGCAACCCCUAUUGUUAGUUGCCAUCAUUCAGUUGGGCACUCUAGCGAGACUGCCGGUAAUAAACCGGAGGAAGGUGGGGAUGACGUCAAAUCAUCAUGCCCCUUAUGACCUGGGCUACACACGUGCUACAAUGGUUGGUACAACGAGUUGCGAGUCGGUGACGGCAAGCUAAUCUCUUAAAGCCAAUCUCAGUUCGGAUUGUAGGCUGCAACUCGCCUACAUGAAGUCGGAAUCGCUAGUAAUCGCGGAUCAGCACGCCGCGGUGAAUACGUUCCCGGGCCUUGCACACACCGCCCGUCA